This 12098-nucleotide long non-coding RNA is filed under the name Capsicum annuum. RNAcentral's name for it is "long non-coding RNA (CANN_LNC009430)". Lineage: Eukaryota; Viridiplantae; Streptophyta; Magnoliopsida; Solanales; Solanaceae. The record is from RNAcentral.
GGAAGGGUUAAGGAUUUACCCGGUGUGAGAUAUCACAUUGUUCGAGGAACCCUAGAUGCUGUCGGAGUAAAGGAUCGUCAACAAGGGCGUUCUAGUGCGUUGUAGAUUCUUAUCCAGGACUUGUAUCAUUUGAUGAUGCCAUGUGAAUUGCUAGAAACAUGUGAAGUGUAUGGCUAACCCAAUAACAAAAGUUUCGUAAGGGGACUGGAGCAGGCUACCAUGAGACAAAAGAUCUUCUUUCUAAAGAGAGAUAUAUAUGAAUCCAAAUCUGCCGAAUCACUCAUGUUAUGAUCUUCUACAUCCUGGGUCUUCCCAUUCCGUCAUCUGGCUUAUGUUCUUCAUGUAGCAUUCAGACCGAAUGACUCUAUGAAAUUACGUCGAUACUUCCACAUAUUAUGGGUAACGUAGGAGACAUCUCUAUUUUUCCCCCGGGGAAUCUUUAGAAUUCCCACUGCUUAACUUUCAAUUCGCCUCUGACCAUCAAAUGAAAUGUGAAUAACCCGUCCUCCUCUCUUUAAAAUAAGGGGCGCUUUCGGUUCUGUCGGCAUUUUUAGCUCUUAAUCUUCGGGGAUUUUAUUUUAGACCUUCCCGACCUCCGAUUCUAGAUUUGUUUGUUGCAUUGCGAUCGGGGAGGUCAAGAGUACAUCCCGGAUGAGUUUCAGAAUUUUUGGAACUUGUUUAAACCAAGUUUGGGGUUGCAAAAUAGUGUAUCAACGCAAUUAUGGUGCGCCGCGUUGCCUAUCGCAUCGAUAAAUACUUUCCCAGCUCUCAGAGUCAUUCCAGUGAGUCAAUGAAAACUCGAUGUGGGGCGCGGGGAGUUGUCUGUAGCGUCGAUGCCCAGUUUUAGUCAUUAAAUAUCCGCAUUAAGAGGGGUAGAUUGGUCAUUUUCCCACCAUAUGUAUACUCUAUAACACGGGAUUAAGCUCCCAAAUAACCAUAAUACUCAUACUUUUCCCAAAAUUACUCAAGAACUCUCUCAAGGAUUUCAAAAUAAAAACCCAGGUAGAUCAAGAUUCAAUCGUAGGUUUUUGAAAUUGAUCGCAUAUUUGGUAUCCCCAGACCGUAGGCUUCAAGAAGCAUCCUUUAAAUUCCUAAAUAGAGGUACACGGGGUUUAUCCUAAAAACUACAUGGGCUUGAAAUUGUCAAAGCAUGAUUUAAAGAUUUUGAUGCAUGUAUUUUAUGGGGGUUUUGAAAAAUAUACUAUUGAUUAUGUAUUUCAAAGGUUUUAAUGUUUGCUAAUGCUUUAGACUUGUGGUUUUUCCCCCUUGAUUUAUGUAUACAUAUAUGUAUGAAAUUGAUAUUUGAGAUUUAUUCGAGAGCAUGAAUUAUGGACUCCCUCUCUUGUAAUAAUUAAAGAUUUUGGCUUUGUUGAAAAGAGAGUUGAAAUGCAUGUUUGUGAUUUGAAAUGUCAUAGCACUUGAAAUAUCAUUUUAGAGCUAUUGAGAGGGCGUCUUGAUAUAUUAUGUUUUGUGUUAAAGAAGAAUUGCAUGAGAAAGAGAUUUUUGGGCAUGACCACCAUUGUUUGUAAAACUGUUGACAAAGAGUUUUCUUGCAUGUGUAUACAUGAGUUCUUGAAUUGUUUGAUUGAUAUGGUGGUCCCGAACUUAUGUAUUGAAAAAAAGAGAUUCUUGUAUGCUUACAAUGGCUCAGAGAUGUGAAUUGCAAGUCUAUGGUAUGACGAUACCAUAUGUAUUUAUGCCAUGACAGAGUAUGCUUUCAGAGUAUAUUUUCAGAGCAUGUUUUCAGACUUUGCAUGUUUUGAUUGAGUUUUUACAAAAGGGGCUUAAAUAGUGUUAAGUGGUUACCAGAAGAAGGCAUGAGUUCAAGCAACUCUUAGCCUGAAAUCGUAUUUGCCGAUACGGGUAGAUUAUUAUUGUACGCUGGCGACGGUCGUGUGGCGUAGUAGAUUCAGAGACUCCGACCCUUUCGGCACACUUGGGUUGGGGGAUUGGCUGCCAAGUUAAUGGUAGUUUCCAUAUAGCCCAUGGAAUUUUCAGAUUUGUAGGGUAUACCACUUAUCGCAGAAGUAAUACAAAGAGUACCAAAGAUUUCAGAUGUUUUCACAGAGUCUUUUAAAAUGCCCAUGGGAUUCUCACUAUACGAUUUGUUUAUGAACUGUUUUAAACUGCUCCCUUAUAUAUUGAAUAUAAACUGUUAUUUUGGAUUUGCUCUACGUGCCAGUACUUUUGUAUUGACCCCCUCCCCCUCCAACCUCUCAAGUUCUGAGGCUCAGUAUAGGGCCCAGAAAAGCAGUAGAUAAUUUAGAUCGCAGACCAGACCGGUGCAGUGGUGAGCCUUCUAUCUUCCAGAAGGCCUGUUUGAUUUCGAAUAUUUAUCUUUAGUCAUGUUUUGGUCUACUGGGGGCCUUGUCCCAGGAAUUCAGACAGUAUUUUUUUGAGAUUUAGUAGAGAUUUCGCAUACUGAGUCAGAUAUAUUUUUUUAUAUUUUUGAAUUUCAGUGUUAUGAUCACAUUCAUAUUGACCAUGUUUCCGUAUUAGAAUUCUAUUUCCGCGUUAUAUUUUAUUACAUGAAUGUUGUGCAUGAUUAUCAGAUCCAGAUGGACGUCCUGGGCCUUCAUGAUUCGGGAAUGCUCGUCACAGCCAGGGCCUCGGUUCGGGUCGUGUCAAAAAUCUUUCGGCACCUUCAGAAAAAUACUUCGAGAUAAAAAAUUGGAUGCUUAUUUUAGGGACAGCUGCUUUGGGAAAUUAAUAACGCUCAACUUACAUGUCAAUUAAGUGUAAGGCGGUCAUCAUCAAUAUAUUUACCCAACUUUUAGAGUCGGGGUCGAAUCUACAGGGAAUAAUGUGACUGACGAUUAAACUAAUUUGAAAUUAUAGGUCCGAAUUGAAUUUAAACUACUAAUGCAGAAAGAUAAAAAAAGGGAGGUUUUCAAUGAUUUACUAAAAUUUACUAUAUAUUUCAAUUUAUCAAUAUUAUGGGCAACUAGAGUUAUGGGUACCGAGAUGUGCAAAAAGAUAGGGUCGUGAAUCACUUUUAAGGUUCCAAGUUGAUACUUAAGUUGCAAGGAUAUUUGAAUCUUAUUGUUUACCCAUUUGUCUCCCGACCUCAAUAGGUGACUUAUCCUUUAGAUCUCCUGAACUUACAGGACGAAUUAUUUAUUCAACUGUUUCCUCAUGUAGAUAGAUCUGGUCAAGGUAUUUGUCCUUAAACUAAAGGUUAGAAGCUUUAGAGUCCAUGUAAAUCCAUUCAUUUUCCCCUAUCCACGUUCUCCCUAGAAAAGUAAUGUACCAUGUAAGCAAAUCCUCUCGAGUUAUUCGCCCUUAAACUUAAAGGAGUAACAUCUUUAAGAGUCCAUAGGAACUUCUGUGUUCUCAACAUGUACUUUCCUCCCGGAUAAGUGGAUGUACUUGGGCUUACUUUUAGAGUUGCGAACUAGAAGAAUCACUACAUUGCUCGACAAGUACCUUCCUCCGGGACAGAUACUUGCUUCAUUGAAGUAGCCUAAUGACACUUUUCUCCCGGACAUGUGUUGUUUUAGCGUUGACUCUUCCAGUUACAAACUAGAGAAAUCGUUACAUUGCUCGGCAAGCACCUUCUUCUCGGACAAGUGCUUGCUUCAUUGAAGUAACUCAACAACACAUGUGGUGACUUUCCUCUCGACAAAUAAUUGCUUCAUUGAAGGAACUCAACAACACAUGUGGUGUUAUAGUGCUGAUUUCAUCUAGUUUGCAAACACAAAAAGUGAUUAAAAACGAAGAAAGGUUUAUACAACAUCAAGUGUUCAUGGAACUCAAAGUAAAUUCACAACCCAAACUAGUUAAUCACAUCGAAACUCCCAUAACUCAAGUAAAGUAAAUUAGAUACUCAUGAUAUAUAAACCAACAACAUAUAUUGUAUUCAUAAUCAAAAUUAAGUAAUAAAACAUACCCAAAACAAAGCGUUAAUUGAAGGAGUUGAAAAACUUGCCUAAGAAUCCUAAGAGAGAUUUAUGUGUAUUUCUAUAUGUACAUUGUGUCUAUAUUAUCCCUAUUCUGUAUCUAAUGGUGUAGUAUAUGUAUGGUACUCUAUUUUACAUCUAUCCAAGUAUUGGUAGGUGUAUGUAGAUCAAUCUUCUGACCAAGACUUUCAAGCCUCCAAGUGUGAAUCCGCGUUCAGCCGCAACUGGCAAAAUUGACUACUGUGUUUGUUAGAAUACGUAGUCAAAUACUCCUUUUUAUGGUCCACGCGCCUAUAUUAUAGAAAUUUAGACUUAUUAUGAUUCCAUAAAUAUUUUGUAAAAUUCUAUAUCACUGUUCACGCUCUCAAAACAGCCAUGUACAUUUCAGGACUCCAAAUGGAGUCGAUUUCUGUAUUUUGGUCACGUUGAGCCAUUUUGAGCCUUAUUGAGUUGUUUCCACUUGAUUUGAAGCUUGUAUUCACUUCAUAUAUCAUCAUAUUCCAUCAAAAAAUCAUCCUAUAACAUUAAAAACAGCAAUUCAAAGCUCAAAACAACACAACAUCCAACACGAUGAACUCAAAACACAAGCUAAGCAUAGGCUAAUUUUCACUUAUAUCUUUAGCUAAUUGUUUUGACUAUUUUCUUGAUCCAAUGGACCCUUAAACAUUAUAAACAAUUUGUUUCAUUUAUAAAUACAUACUAACAACCUUAGUAAUCUAUUAACACACGUGAGAACCUAACACAAUAGACUAGACAACACCGAGCUCAAGCUAGUCACACUAGUUUUCUCGGUUGAAUUCUAAAUGGUCACAUUGAAUCAAAAAUUAUUUGGAAACACCAUUAAAUGUUGUAAAAACAUAAUUUGACACAAAAAUUCUUAUUUAUAUUAUUAUCAACACAUAUAGCAUAAGAAUCAUCCUCAAAACAAGGCUAAAAAGGUUAGAAUAGUGAUGCUAGAACGCAUAAAUACACCCAACAUCAGAAAUAUCUUAAUUUGCCAGAGGACAACAAUGCUUGUUUCUAAAUGAAAAUGGUAUAUGAACUUCUCAAGAGUAAUUUUAUGUGUGAAAACAAAGAUAAGAUGGAUAAGGUGUGGAUAAAUUACUGUGGCAUGCCCGUUUGUUUUGAUUGGAAGGAGUUUGCCAUAGUUAUUGGACUAAAAUGUUAUCCUCCUUUUCAAGUUAUACCUAUUAUAACGCAAAAAAAGCACCCCGCACACUCAAAAAAGUUAAAGGAGGCAAGCCGUGUGAUCUUGAUAACCUGGUGUCCAUUGUUGGUCGAAGCUUCAAAAAUAAAAAUUUGAUAGAAGCGUUGAAAGGUAAAGAACUUUCAAAGAAGCACAAGCAGUCAUUGUGCUUGGUUUGGUUUUUACAUAAUAUUCUUUGGGCGAGAGACAUUAACAACAAUAUAAGUGUUGGUUUAAUAAAGCACUCCGAGGAUCUUGAGGCAUUUAACAGCUAUCCUUGGGGUUAUGAAAGCUUUAAAAUGACUGUCCAAUAUUUGUUGACUCCAUUGGCACCAAAGACAAUCAACUUAUAUGGCCUUUCAUGGGAUUUCAUGGUAAAUCUUUCAUUUCUUUCUUUUAUUAUGAUACCAUUUAUUUUUUUUACUCAAUGAUGGUUUUGAUUUAUUAUCAUUAUUUUAUAGGCUUGGGUGUUUGAAGUCAUUCCUCAUUUGAGACAACAAGUGAACUACCAGGAAGAAGUUUCCUGUCCAAGAAUCUUGAGAUGGUUGUUGGCCAAAACUGAUAAAAAUGCAAAAUUUCUUGACCUUUUCAACCCCCCGAAGGAUGCAGUAAGUAAAACUAUGAUUAAGUUUUUAUUUUAGUUAAUGAUUUUUUUGAAUGAUCUAAUCAUCAUUCUAAUAUAUGUAAUGAUUUAUGUUAGAUUGUGCAUCCGUUGCUAGUUCCAACCAAUCGAUAGUUGAAGAUGCCAUUUGUUCUUACUUUACAGUCUGUGCGAACUUUAUCGUACUCUAAAUUCAUCGACAGAAUAAAAAUAGAAUUGUUUGGAGCAACAUCCAUUACAAGAAAAACAAUUUUAGAGGGUGGGCUUGUCGUUGUUGUUGGUCUUAGCGGUGAUGGAGAUGUUGGUGGUAGUAGUGGUGCUGCUGUUGGUACUAAUGAUGCUCCUCUUGCGGUAUUUAAACAAACCAUUAUGAGUAUGAUCAUAUUGGUUAUACAGAUUUUGCCUCUCCCAGCAAAUGUUCUGCAUACAAAUGUCAAUACUGCAGGGCAAAACAUAAUAUAGUGAUUAAUGCUAUUAAUGCAUUAAUUGCAUCUGUAAGGAAAUUGACAUCUAUGAGGGGUGUCAUCCAUCAAAGAGGAUUUUAUUUCCAUCCACUCCAUUAGAGAUUAUGGCUAAGAGGAGAAGGAAAGUGAUUUCCAAGGCAUUAUCAAGCAUCCAAAAGAGCAAAAUUGCAACUCAUCUGUCCGUGUGUUGCACUGAGCAAUAUACAAUGUCCAAAAGAGAGGCACGAGCUGAACAAGGUGAAUAUAUAUGUCUUCCAACUGCAAACGGACACAUUUCUAUUUUCGCGGAUGUCACAUCUGCUGAAAAUUAUCAAACAGAUUAUAUCUCUGUUGCAACAGUUGUAUAACUUGUUGCACCAGAUAAAGUACCUGUUACGACAUAUGUCUCAUCUAUUUUAGCAAAUCAAAUAGCUCUUCGUACCACUUCUAUUUGUACCAACAGAUGACCUAUCUUCUGCAAUAGAUAAGUCAUAUAUUGCAACAGAUGGUUCAUCCAUUGAAAAUUAUAAGGUCUUCCUUAUGUAGACAUUUGACCCAAUAAUUGAUUCAUUGUUGCAACAAAAAUAUAAUCUGUUUGGGACAAUUUAAAAUAGGAGGAAGACCUGUUUGAUUUGCUAGAACAGAUGCAUUAUCCUUUUCCAUUCUGGCUUUCCAGGUGGAUGUAGAAGUUACUGAUGAACAACAUUGAUAAUAUUCUAAUGAAAAUACGGAGAACAAAAAGCGCAAAAACCGUACUGAAGCGACAAUAAAGAUCCAUGACGAGCAAAUCCAAAUUUCAUAGCACCGGAUGAACAACUUGUCUAUAUUGAGUAGAUCUUUAUAGCUUAAGUUUGUCAAAGUAAUAACCUCUCACCCCUCCUUAGGAAUCCUUAGCAUCAAUACUUAAAUUAUUGAUGUAUUUGUUGAGAUCUGUACCUAUAAUAAUUUUUUUACAUCUUAUUUAUUCGUUGAUUUUAUUUCAGCUAAUUUCUUAAGACUUCAUUUUAUUUUAUUUUGUCUAUGUAUUUUAUCUUUUCCUUAGAUUUGAACUUAUUAAUCGAAAUGGAAUACUAGAUUCAAAUAUAGCAACUGAUAAUGUAUCUGUUUUAAUUGACCAAAAUCAUAUAUGUUGUAACAGGUAGGUAAUAUUUUGGAAUUUAUCGAACAUGUCUUCCCACUGCUGUAACAGAUAGACUUAGAUAGAACAAUGAAACACCGACAUAAUGCAACAGAUGAUCAACCUAUUGCAAUAGAUAAAUUAUAUGUCAGAACAGGUAGAAUAUCUGUUACAAUGGAUGGAAAAUCUGUUGCAUUAUAAAAAUUCAAAUUUCAUUGGACAUAAAAAAAUUGCCACGUUCAUUUUAAACAUGUAAAAUAAAAUUGGCACAAAUGUGUCAGGUUGACACUUUUUGCUGACUUGGCGACUGAUUUUUCCCCCAAUGGUUAUUUUUUUUUCCAAUGUCUUAUAUAUUCAUCUUCUUUCUAAAAUUUAACCUUAAAUUCCAAUUCUUCUUCUUCGUCGUCAUCUUUUUUAUCUAUCCAAAUAUUCUUCAAAGUAUUUACAUUUGGUCUUUCUUUUCUUCAUCUUUUUUUCAUUUUUUUCCAACUGAGCUUGACAAUGUCGAGCGCAGCUUUCACUAUUUUUUGUGAUAACGGUUUUCGAUAUUGUAAGUGCGGUCAUGAAGAUUUAUUGAAGACUUCUUGGACUCAACAAAAUCCAGAUUGUAGGUUUUUUACUUGUAAGAUUUCAAAGGUAAUAUUUUUUUUAUUUAAUUAGUUGAUUAAUUAUUGACUUGUAAUUGUUUUGUAAUUGUAUUCUCGUUUUUAUAGAAAUUGGGUGGAUGCGAUUACUUUGAUUGGUAUGAAGAACGACACCCUUCACAAGCAAAUCGUGUAAUCUGGAGUUUGUUGAAGAAAUUCAAGGUUUCUGAAUAGAAACAAAAUCGAUCAAGAAGAUACUUCAUUGUUGUCGUUAUUUCUACUGAUUUGGUGGUGUUGGACACAUGGAUUUUCAAGCCUAAUUGCUGAAAUUUUCAUGGUGGUGUAUUUUCUACUGGUUUGGUGUUGUCGAGCACAUGGAUAUUCAAGCGUGUAAUUGCUGCAAAAUAUCAAACAAAUUUAGGCAUAUGUUGUAAAAUUUAGGACAACUGUUGGAAAUUAUCGAACAGAUCUUCCUGCUGUUGCAACAGAUUAGACUUAGAUUAGAUAGAAAUAAAUAACAUCGGUGUAAUGAAAUAGAUGGCCAACCUAUUGUUAUUGAUAAAAUAUCUGCUAGAACAGAUAGAAUACAUUUUACAACAGAUUGACAAUCUAUUGCAUUAUAAAAAACUCAACUUUUAUUCAUUAUGAAUUAAUUAUUGUCACUACAUGUACAUGUAAUUUAAAGUAAAAUAAAGUGUGACUUGAAAUAAAAAUUGUUAUUUCACAGGUGAUUCUAUAUACAUAGACUCCAAGCAUCCAGUUAGUACCUCAUAAGUCCAGACCUCUUGCAGGUUUGCCAUAGUGUUAUCAUACAGAAAGGUUGUUAGCUCAACCAUUUCUGUGUCGGUCAACAAACAUUCGAUGUGUGCAAGGGCGUGUGAGCUGCUCGCUUAACCGACAUAAUUUUUUAAAAGGAUUAUGUUGUUUUGACCUAAAAAAUCCCAUGGUUUCUUCAUCAACACUUCCUUUGGCAAAUAUUCAUCAGUUUACUCUCCCUCAACAAGAAGGGCAACAACUCCAUCAGUGGCUCCACGACGAGAAAAAAAUUGGCAUGGUCGACAAGAGGUUCAUUGUAGUCAUAAACAUUGAUCUUUCCCUCCUCGAGUAGUAUCUCAACAUCCCGAUAAUGUAUGUCAUUCACUCAAAUGAUUGCAAAAAUCCUCUUUGCCUCGGUCCAGCUCUUGCCGUGUAGAUUUGGCCUCUUCCCUAUAACAUAUUUUAUCAUUUCUUCUUCAUCCAAGUCCAACGUAGAAGCUAAUAAAUCAAGUCUCGCGCCAUAUUCUAAUGCAGCUGUAUUGAAUUGAUUGUACUUAUCCUUGAGCUUCUUGCAAAAGUUGAGGUCCAUUAUUUUAUCGGCAGCGUCAUAAGCUUUUGGGUACGUUAAUUGUCUUUUCCUCAUGAGGCAGAGAAUUUUGUCAACAUGCUGUGAUAUAAGAAGACAAUUUUUAAAUAGGUUAGAAAUUAUAAAGAUGGUCCAUCUAUUGCACAGGGUUAUCUGAAUUAAUAAUCCAACGCAACAAAUAAAUAGUAAGUUGUGACAGAACUACUACCAGUUGCACCAGAAUACCCAACUGCUGCUCUAACACAACUUAUGCAACAAAUAGACAGUAAGUUCCAACAGAACCACUGCUAGUUGCACCAGAAUAUCUAGCUAUUGCGACAUAUUCAUAUCUGUUGUGUAGCUUCUUCUUCAUGGGGUAGAUUAGAUUAGAAGGUUGGGUUAGGAAAAGUAAACUUUCCUUGUCCUCGUAAUACACGCGCAUAUCUGUCAUAGUCUGGAAGUCUUGGGGGGGAAAGGGAGGCCUGGGGUAAUCUGUGCACCUGGCUUGGAAUUCUUGGCCUGUUGCAGAUCCCCCUUCUCUUUGGUGCCAAGUUCAGUGUAUAUGUCCACCCUUUGAACUUUAAUAGCUUUUUGAGAGGGAGGAGCUGCAAUUAUUUUUGAUUUCCGAUAGGAGAGUACGUCGGUUAUUUAUCUUUUCUUCCUCCUAACCAAUAAUGUAGGAGUAUAUCGCUCCCUCAACUUCUUGGAUGGUAUGACACCCCUCUUGGAUUUGAAAUCCUCGAUAGCUUUAGAGAUAGCCUCUACUUUCAAAGAAUUUAUCCUGGUUGUCCUUGUACUCUUCACAUUCACAACGAGAACACGAGGGUAGAGAGGGAUGAGAGGGACCCAUGUAAAGGUGAAAAUGGGUGUUUUUAAACAUAUAUAAUAUUUUUAGCAUCAACAUGCUUAUCAUCAUGAGUGGUAGCAUCAUCAUCAUGCCUACCACCAACACCAACGACUCCACCAAAAGAAGCACCAGGAUCUGCCUUAGUAGGUUGGUCAUGAAGAGCCUCAACAUUAGGCAGACCUUGCCUAACUGCUCGUCUUCUUAUGGCUGUUGCUCCAGCCAAUUCCUUCCUUAUUAAAUCUACCGUUGGGUCUGAUAUAGUAUCAAUAUGACCUUGAGUAAUAUAAAAAGUCAUCAUCAACUCCUCCUCAGUAGGCACGAUCCAUGGAUGCAUAACCUAGAAUAAAAAUACAAAUACAAAUACAUUUAAAUCAUAUAAUAUAAUAAUUUUCACAGUUGGGUUAACAUUUUAACAGUCAAAUUCUACAACAGAUUAGCAAUAUGUUGUAUCAGAUUACCCAUCUAUUGUAUAGUUUAUAGUAGAUGGUUAAUCUGUUAGGAGCCGGGUUCACAGAACCAGAUGGGUAAUCUGAUGCAAGAUAUCAAUCGUCUGUCGCAACAAAUUAUCCAUCUAUUGGACCGGUUGGCACAAGAUAGGUAAUUUGUCGCAACAGAUAUUUCAUCUAGUGCAUCAGAUAUAAUAUAUGUUCAAUAUAUUUCCAUGAGUAUUUUACUUGAGAAAUACUUGAAGAAGACGUACUGCAUCAUUCGGAGGGUUAAAGAUAUCAGCCUCCAUAAUUUUGGUGUUGAACUUUAUAGCCAACCACCUAAACAUCCUUGGAUGAUAAACCUCCUCCGGGUAAUCCAUUACCUACUUUCAGAGGAGAGAAAUGACUUCCAAUGCCCAAGCUUGAAAAAUGUAAACAGGAUGCCAGCAAAAAAUCUCAUAAUAAACUAUAUUCAACAUAAAUUAAUGGACAAGUAAAAAUAGAGAUUAAUUUUUUAAUCUUACCUUGAAAUCCCAAGGAAAGGCGUAUAAUGUGUUCGUCUUUGAGGAUAGCUCAUCAGUAAAUAUUGCACAGUCAAAUAGAAAAUGUUAUAUCCCUAGGGAUGAUUAUUGAAUUUAUCAAACCUCAGCACGUGCCAACAAAUCAUCUUCUAUGACCUUGUUGACGUCUCUUACCAAUAUAAUCUAAUGGGCAAACCAAACUAAGAACAGUUGCUCCCUGUACUGCUCUGGUAUGGUUUUAUCCACGAGAUCUGUCAACAAAUCUGAUGCUUUAUAGCCACGUCGAGCAAUGUCAAACAACCCAUCUAUUUUUUACUUGCAUUUUCUUGCCUUGGAUAUUUUGAGGGGUGGUGGUUCUUCUGGACAAUGGCAUCUCAAGCCCGUCACUAUGGCAAUCUCUUGCAAGACAAAGCAAAAUAGUAUGCCACAGUAGUUGAUCCAGAUUUUAUCCAUUUUAUUUUUGCCCCAUCCUCCGGAUCUUUAUCAUCCCCCACAUACUUAAUCCUGGGCUUGAGAAGACCAUAUACCAUCAUCGAAGGGAAACGAAAAUGGGGAGGGGGGUCCUCAGGCAGCUCAAGAGAGCGUCCAAAGUAGCUCUUCUUAAAAUGUCUGUCUAUGUUUUCGUUCUUCAUAAUUUCCCUAAAAUAAUUAAAAUUCCCCAUCUAACAUUUAAGUACAACAUCACUAGUUAGUUUUAGUUCUGCUUCUGGUUCAUUUAUCGGCAUCAAAACUUGAAACCUGCCAAUACUAAAAGUUUUGACAGGAUUAUGCUGGGAUGUCGAUAUAAUCCAUGCCCCAUUGGUGAUCCAUUAUCAUCAUGUUGAUGAUUAUCCUCUUUCUCUUUCUCACUUUCAUUUUCUUCAUCACCAUCUACAGACCCUUGUCCACCUCCCUCAAUAUUGUUUUCAUAUAUCUCCUCAGCUUCACUUUUCCCUGUUUGAGAUUGUUCAAGAAGCUCCUUCAAAUUUCUCUAUACUGUAGCCUUUUUUUCUAGGUGGUCGAGUUGAUCCGGUUUCACUUUUUUUUCUUUUGGGAGACAUGUUUUACCUAAAAACAACAGAAACAAAAAAUUACAUUACAAUUGAUGUACGUAUAAAUUUUAAAAAUAAAUUACAAACACCACCAAUACAGAACACCAACAGCCACCACCA